RNAcentral lists this ribosomal RNA (1346 nucleotides) under uncultured bacterium. RNAcentral describes it as "partial 16S ribosomal RNA". It matches the Rfam family "Bacterial small subunit ribosomal RNA", at positions 28 to 1381 of the family's 1533-position model. The record is from RNAcentral.
GACGAACGCUGGCGGCUUGCUUAACACAUGCAAGUCGAACGGAAAGGCCCUGCUUUUGUGGGGUGCUCGAGUGGCGAACGGGUGAGUAACACGUGAGUAACCUGCCCUUGACUUUGGGAUAACUUCAGGAAACUGGGGCUAAUACCGGAUAGGAGCUCCUGCUGCAUGGUGGGGGUUGGAAAGUUUCGGCGGUUGGGGAUGGACUCGCGGCUUAUCAGCUUGUUGGUGGGGUAGUGGCUUACCAAGGCUUUGACGGGUAGCCGGCCUGAGAGGGUGACCGGCCACAUUGGGACUGAGAUACGGCCCAGACUCCUACGGGAGGCAGCAGUGGGGAAUAUUGCACAAUGGGCGGAAGCCUGAUGCAGCAACGCCGCGUGCGGGAUGACGGCCUUCGGGUUGUAAACCGCUUUCGCCUGUGACGAAGCGUGAGUGACGGUAAUGGGUAAAGAAGCACCGGCUAACUACGUGCCAGCAGCCGCGGUGAUACGUAGGGUGCGAGCGUUGUCCGGAUUUAUUGGGCGUAAAGGGCUCGUAGGUGGUUGAUCGCGUCGGAAGUGUAAUCUUGGGGCUUAACCCUGAGCGUGCUUUCGAUACGGGUUGACUUGAGGAAGGUAGGGGAGAAUGGAAUUCCUGGUGGAGCGGUGGAAUGCGCAGAUAUCAGGAGGAACACCAGUGGCGAAGGCGGUUCUCUGGGCCUUUCCUGACGCUGAGGAGCGAAAGCGUGGGGAGCGAACAGGCUUAGAUACCCUGGUAGUCCACGCUGUAAACGGUGGGUACUAGGUGUGGGGUCCAUUCCACGGGUUCCGUGCCGUAGCUAACGCUUUAAGUACCCCGCCUGGGGAGUACGGCCGCAAGGCUAAAACUCAAAGGAAUUGACGGGGCCCCGCACAAGCGGCGGAGCAUGCGGAUUAAUUCGAUGCAACGCGUAGAACCUUACCUGGGUUUGACAUGGAUCGGGAGUGCUCAGAGAUGGGUGUGCCUCUUUUGGGGUCGGUUCACAGGUGGUGCAUGGCUGUCGUCAGCUCGUGUCGUGGGAUGUUGGGUUAAGUCCCGCAACGAGCGCAACCCUUGUUCACUGUUGCCAGCACGUUAUGGUGGGGACUCAGUGGAGACCGCCGGGGUCAACUCGGAGGAAGGUGGGGAUGACGUCAAGUCAUCAUGCCCCUUAUGUCCAGGGCUUCACGCAUGCUACAAUGGCUGGUACAGAGAGUGGCGAGCCUGUGAGGGUGAGCGAAUCUCGGAAAGCCGGUCUCAGUUCGGAUUGGGGUCUGCAACUCGACCUCAUGAAGUCGGAGUCGCUAGUAAUCGCAGAUCAGCAACGCUGCGGUGAAUACGUUCCCGGGGCU